CACACUGCACGCGCAUCUUCCGCCGCGGGGUGCAGGAGGCGCGUGGGCGGCGGCCGAAGCAGCAGCACCAGCAGUAGUAAGAGCAGCAGCAGCACCAGUAGCAGCAGCAGCUGCAGCACCGCGCGCGACGGCAGCACGUGGCGGCGACGGGGUCUCCCGCUCUGCCGGGCGGGGCGGGACGCGGCACUACGCAGCGGCGUGAGGCGGCGCCGCCAUCUUGGCAGCGGCAGCGCCCGAGCAGACGGGGCUAAGGGGAGCGGGGAAGGGCUUUUUAUCUUCCUCAGGCGGCGUGGAAAAUCAGCUGCGCGUUCGGCGGCAGCAGCCGGCGGAGCUCGAGGGGGCAGCUGGGGUGGGGAAGAGAGGCGGUGUGAGAUACAUGCAGGGGGACCGUGGAGGGCGGGUGAGGGGAGGAGAGAAGCCAGCAGGGGUAACGUACCCAGCAGGUCUGUGAGCUCUGCUCCUUCCCAGGGCCGUCACGCACGCAGGUGCCUCGCAGUUUGGAACUGUCAGUAAAUAAAAUGCAGCCGGCAGGAUACAGUGUGUGUGUACCCCCUGCUUGGAGGUGCUUCCCUUGUUUCUCCUCAGGUCUGUGACCCCCUCCAAUAAAGAUGUGAAGGGAAGAAUUCUGAGUAGGUUAAAAAGCCUCUUUUUUCAAUCAAUUCUCAAGGAAAGGGUAAGAUGAUGUGACACAAAUGUAUGAUCGUGUGCCACAAAUAGAACGUUGUGGGAAGCUUUCCCUUAAACAUAAGCUUUGUCCUAUAUUUUUUCAAACAGUUUAUUUCCUUGCAGUGUAGGUCAUUCUUAACAUUAGGCUAAAUUUAGCUGAAGAUGCACCAACGGCAGAGACAGACUGCCUCAGAAAACAGGCCCACAGUCUCAUUGCAUGGCCUGGUCAGGAGGCUGGAUGGAAAACUAUUUACAUUUUUAUUGGCUUUUUCUCAGGGAGCUUGAUUAAAGGCCACUGAUGAAGACAUUCAAUGGCCUAGGCCUAAGGGUAGGCUCCCAAGGAACGUCCAGCCAGAUGCUCACCCAUCUAGCAAUCUGCCCAUCUACACUACAAUGUUCCAACCUGGAUACAGGUAUGCAGUGGGAGAGUGUGCUGAAAGCCUUGCUGAAGUCAAGUUUGCAGAGAUGUAUCAUGCCACCAGUACCAAGAAGAUAAGCAAGAAGAAAGCUUCUUCGUUACGGAGGUUGCAUUAGGAUAGGUUAUUGUGGCAGGUGUGGUGCUGCCAAGUAGAAACAGAGCCAGAGAUGCUGCAGAAGCUUGAGGCUUUCCUAUGAAUAACCUGGAGGCAAUCUGUGUGGUAUAGGUAAGCCCAGGCUGCCAUCAAUUACAAAAGUUCUGAAGAAGCUCUGCGAGAUGCAUUUGUCAAUGAACUUGCAGCUACAUGGAUGUGUAUGCAACUGCCAAUAAACUUGCAUUAGCUUAACAAAAUAUCUGUCUAUUUAUAU
Cygnus olor (mute swan) is the source of this 1452-nucleotide long non-coding RNA. RefSeq lists it as uncharacterized. NCBI's taxonomy places the organism in Eukaryota, Metazoa, Chordata, Aves, Anseriformes, Anatidae. The transcript is spliced from 3 exons. The record is from RefSeq and is a predicted model, not a curated record.